RNAcentral lists this long non-coding RNA (797 nucleotides) under Setaria italica (foxtail millet). RNAcentral describes it as "long non-coding RNA (SITA_LNC000155)". The record is from RNAcentral. Lineage: Eukaryota; Viridiplantae; Streptophyta; Magnoliopsida; Poales; Poaceae.
UAGAAGUAAAGGGUGAGUGCUAGGCUAGCCACUAAAGAGAGGGUGUUGUACAUCUUGUGUAAUAUUGUUGUGUGUAAUAAAUUUCUAUUUCUUACAAGUGUUAGUCUCCUGGUUGGGUUAUAUAGUUUCUAAGUACUUAGUGCAUAAGUUGUGAUCCAUCGAAUGUUGGCUCUGUCAACCAGGAUUACAAGAGUUUGAACUUCAUCGUAGGUUAGCUCUGCCACCCAGAUGUCAGCUUCAUCUGUUGGUAUGCUCUGCCACCUAGAAGUGAGAAGGCAGCUCUGCCGUCGAAAAGACCUAUCGUACUAGGUAACUAGAAAUUAAAAGGGCUGACCGACUCCAGUCGAAAAGACCUAUCAUACUAGGUAACUAGAAAUUAAAAGGGUUGACCGACUCCAGAGUGAGUUGUUGUCCUAGGUGUAGGUCCUCAGAUUAGUGGGUAUCAGAGCCACCUCAAUUUCCAACAAUUAACAUAACAGAUUUAAUCAAGAUCUUAUGAAGGUAAACAUAAGAGUCCUUGCUCCGAACAAUGGACCUCAAUAGCGACGUUCUUGAUGCUGCCGAGCCAAAUUUGCAAGUCUGUUGCUCCUACAGACUCCAUGAAGGUGUUGUAGAGCAGCACUGUGGCAGUGUCACUCUAGCUCUUGUAUCCCUAAAUAAUUAGAACUACCUCACUUGUGUCAUGCAUGUCAUGUGUAGGAUAGAAAGCUCACUUCAAUUUUUUACACCUCCCCCUCUCCUGCGCUCUCUUCCCCUCCAACAAGCUUUGCAAAGGACCCUUUCUGAUGAAGCUUAAG